Molecule: long non-coding RNA, 962 nt
Organism: Microplitis mediator
Lineage: Eukaryota; Metazoa; Arthropoda; Insecta; Hymenoptera; Braconidae
Exons: 2
Source: RefSeq, a predicted model, not a curated record
AAAAAAAUUCGACGAAAAAUUCCAAUAUUACUAUCGUAAUCCUGGACUAUACUUUUAUUAUCUGUAACAUUCAAAUAUAUGAUACGAAAAUUUACAGUUUUUAAAAGAUUUUUUACUAUUCACUAUCGUAAUUUCAUUAAGAGUUUAUUGUAAUCAAUUCAAUAAGAAAUAUUACAAUGUUACUAUCGUAAAUAGUAAAAGAAUAAAAAAUAAGAUUUAAUUAUACUAUUUAUUCUUUUAUUCUUCCUUUUAAUUUACAGUGCUGCCUCUAUGUUUUUACAAUACAAGCUACAAAAAUUACGAUAGUUGGAUUGUAAAUUUUCUGAAAUGGUAUAGUAUAUGCCAUCUGAAGCGUUUACGUAUGAAAGACAAGUGUUGUCACAAACCAUGAUGUGAUGCUUGUAUGAGUGUAUAUAUAUAUAUAUAUAAAUACAAAUGAUGACAUCUACUUUGUCUGUAUUAUUUGUGGUUCAACUAUAUAUAUUUAUAAAUCAGUUCAUCUUUAUCCACAGUGUAGUGCAGAAAUAGAGGUUAUUAUUCAUGACGUUUUUCGGACAAUUGUAAAUAAGAAAUUUAAAAUAAAAACUGUACUUUCGUCAUUACAAACCUACAUAGAUUGUGGAAUAUAAUAAUUUGGUGGUGAUAAUCUUCAUUUGUCGACAAUGAAUAAUUUUACCCGGCUUUGCGAGAGGUAAAACAUUUCAAUAACCUCAAAUUAUGGACAUUCAACAUUUCUUUAUGAUACUGAAGUUAGCAGACGCCUAAUAAUUUUUGGAUUUUUUUAAAAAUGAUAAAUUAUAGAAAAAAAGUAUUCGAAAAAAUUGCACCUAUGGUUUUUUUAAUUUUCUACAUGUGCGUAUUUUGAAUACAAAUAAAUGAGUUAUUUAUUCAUAAAUUUUAUAUAUACCAAAAAAAUAUGUUUGAAAAAAUAUUAAAUAAAUGUUUUAUUAUUACUACUUCAA